Corvus hawaiiensis (hawaiian crow) is the source of this 1445-nucleotide long non-coding RNA. RefSeq lists it as uncharacterized. NCBI's taxonomy places the organism in Eukaryota, Metazoa, Chordata, Aves, Passeriformes, Corvidae. The transcript is spliced from 3 exons. The record is from RefSeq and is a predicted model, not a curated record.
AUUCUUUUGUCUCAGAAAAACCAUCCAAGACAGAUUGCUGAAAAGAUAACAUUUUAUCCCUUAGGUUGGAUGAAACAGCCUCAGAAGGCUGUUUGGAAAAGAGGAGUAUUUUCAGUGAAGCUACAAACAGGAAACCACCACUGGCCAGGUUGUGGUUUCUUUAAACCAUGUCCAAAGAUAGCUGAUGGAGCACAAGAUUUCUGACACAAAGAGCUUGAUGUAAACUUUGGACAUGGGAGCAAGGUUUGAAGACCAUGAGUGAUGUUUGUGAUUUAAUACGUAAUUCUGACCACGACCUGUCGCCACUGGUUCUUCAGACUUUGCACUGAAAGAUGCACCCAACAAAUGUUUGAGAGCACGGUGUUUUUAUAAGAAUUGUUGUCAUCCUUUGAAUUACACAAGGAUCAUUAGGGGAGAAACAUGAUUAUCUCCAAACAACACAAAACCAUCAGCGUUUUCAAAGUACUUUAAGAUUUGUGGUUUUGUCUUUAAUUGUGCUGUUACUGUGCUUGCUCAUGAGUUGUGGGUGAUAACAUGUGAUUAUCAUCUGCCUACUUGAUCACAUGCACAUUUGUGAGGCUUGCAAGAGCAAACAUUAUCUGGCUGGGAUCUGCCACAUUCUGCAGAGUUUCAGAGACUGUUUCCCAGACAACAGCACAGUCCUCUUGCAUCCAUGAGCCGUGCACCGCCGUGGACCUGCACUCAGUCUAACACCUGGUGGCAGCUGCUGCUCCCACUGCUGACACAGACAAGAUGUUUGUAGAGCCAUAAUCCAACUGCCUGAACUCUGCAAGUCAAGGAAACUGCACAACCUAAAUUAAAAAGUCAAAAUGAGUCAAACAGCACCUACCUUGUUACAAAUUCUGAGUCAGUUUUUAAAUUGAAACCAGAUCAUUCCUUGCCAAAAGUCAUUUAAGGGCCAUGUACUACCUGUUUAAGACCUCUGCUGCCAAACAUAAAGACAAGCACAGCUGUGUAAUGUGGUAAAUCAUUUCUCUGUGGCAAUUUGAGUGUGCUAAAACAAAGGAGCCCAGAGGGCAGGUGGAGGAGUGAGUGUCAGAAGCAGGCAGCUCAGGCCAGCUGGGUGGGAUUCUGUGCAGGGCAUUUACAUUUUGGAUGUUGUCAGGUGGGCGAGGAAGCUGAUAAGAAAAAUAAUUAUUUGCAUUCAAAUUAUAUAAACAGUGCCAGAGCCUGGUUAGUGUAGGCAGUGACAGACAGUGUUUCCCAACCACAGGAGAUGUAUCACAUGCUGGGUAAGGAAGGUAUAUGAGGCAACAGCACUCUGAAGGUGUGCAGCUCUAAGCCUCUUGGCACAUUUUAUGGCAGAAGAAUAAAAUAAAAGGGAUCUGAAAAGCAAAUGAUCGUCCCAGAUCCUCCUAUUAAAAAUGCACAUUUUUAAUAUGCCCUAACUUAAACUCUGUGUUCUGAAGCAAAGAUAAUGUCUG